This 233-nucleotide long non-coding RNA is filed under the name Ananas comosus (pineapple). RNAcentral describes it as "long non-coding RNA (ACOM_LNC004420)". Lineage: Eukaryota; Viridiplantae; Streptophyta; Magnoliopsida; Poales; Bromeliaceae. The record is from RNAcentral.
ACUCAUCAUCUGUCUCUUUUAAUACGAAGAGAGUGAGCUAUUGUGUAAGAGAAACGGUAGAUUUAUUGAGAGUUCAUAAAAUGACAAGAAGAUCACCGAGGAUAGGCUUAUCGGUUUUGGAUGCAAUCUACAUUUGAUACUAGUGUGGCCUGUUUAUUAAAAUGAGCCAAUACUUAAGUUCAGAAUCAUAUUUGAAAUUAAAAUUUGAAUUUAAAUUAAAUAGAAUUCAAAUU